UACAAAUGUCUAUUAUCUGAAUUUGCAAAUUACUUGUCUAAAAUUUAAAAAAAAAUCAAUGUCCAUAACUUAACAAAGUUGUCUCAUGCCAAUAAAAUAUCUAAAUAUUUUCCCCGGGCGCUUUUUCUGUUCCCCGGGCGCUAUAUUUUCUUCUCCGGGCGCUUUUUAUUUUCCCCGGGCGCUUUUUCUUCACCCGGGCGC
This 201-nucleotide long non-coding RNA is filed under the name Mytilus galloprovincialis (Mediterranean mussel). The record is from RNAcentral. Lineage: Eukaryota; Metazoa; Mollusca; Bivalvia; Mytilida; Mytilidae.